This 29-nucleotide non-coding RNA is filed under the name Rattus norvegicus (Norway rat). The record is from RNAcentral. Lineage: Eukaryota; Metazoa; Chordata; Mammalia; Rodentia; Muridae.
UCAUCUUGAUUGUCAGAUACCUAAAGGCA